Molecule: ribosomal RNA, 524 nt
Filed under: uncultured bacterium
Lineage: Bacteria
Description: bacterial SSU rRNA
Rfam family: Bacterial small subunit ribosomal RNA
Source: RNAcentral
CUCAGGACGAACGCUGGCGGCGUGCCUAAUACAUGCAAGUCGAACGGUCUUUUCUAUGGAAGCUUGCUUCCACUGAGAAGAUAGUGGCGAACGGGUGAGUAACACGUGGGUAACCUGCCCAUAAGAGGGGGGAUAACAUCCGGAAACGGGUGCUAAUACCGCAUAGUUUUCUUGAUCGCAUGAUCGGGAAAGGAAAGACGGCCUUUGUGCUGUCGCUUAUGGAUGGACCCGCGGCGUAUUAGUUAGUUGGUGAGGUAACGGCUCACCAAGACGAUGAUACGUAGCCGACCUGAGAGGGUGAUCGGCCACAUUGGGACUGAGACACGGCCCAAACUCCUACGGGAGGCAGCAGUAGGGAAUCUUCCGCAAUGGACGAAAGUCUGACGGAGCAACGCCGCGUGAGUGAAAGAAGGUUUUCGGAUCGUAAAACUCUGUUGUCAGAGAAGAACAAGUUGGAGAGUAACUGCUCCAGCCUUGACGGUAUCUGACCAGAAAGCCACGGCUAACUACGUGCCAGCCGCCGC